GUUUAAGCCGCCGCGGUAAUACGGGGGGGGCAAGCGUUGUUCGGAAUUACUGGGCGUAAAGGGCUCGUAGGCGGCCAACUAAGUCAGACGUGAAAUCCCUCGGCUUAACCGGGGAACUGCGUCUGAUACUGGUUGGCUUGAAUCCGGGAGAGGGAUGUGGAAUUCCAGGUGUAGCGGUGAAAUGCGUAGAUAUCUGGAGGAACACCGGUGGCGAAGGCGGCAUCCUGGACCGGUAUUGACGCUGAGGAGCGAAAGCCAGGGGAGCAAACGGGAUUAGAUACCCUGGUAGUCC
RNAcentral lists this ribosomal RNA (292 nucleotides) under uncultured bacterium. Its description in RNAcentral is "partial 16S ribosomal RNA". It matches the Rfam family "Bacterial small subunit ribosomal RNA", at positions 505 to 796 of the family's 1533-position model. The record is from RNAcentral.